RNAcentral lists this long non-coding RNA (203 nucleotides) under Elaeis guineensis (African oil palm). RNAcentral describes it as "long non-coding RNA (EGUI_LNC072218)". The record is from RNAcentral. Lineage: Eukaryota; Viridiplantae; Streptophyta; Magnoliopsida; Arecales; Arecaceae.
CUCCAUUCACUGUUUGACAGUGACUAACUUAUAGGAUCCACUUCAAUAGUUGGUUUCAAAAGUUAUAAAUAGUUCUAGAGCAUGAAUGGAUUCUAUAUAUGAUUAUAGAUCGAAUGCCUAAUAUUUCCACAUCCAACACAUAUGAUGCGAUCAAAGGAACUCAUUAAAAGUGGCCAAAUGAUCAUAUCAUCAUGUGGUAUUUU